UACGUAGGGGGCGAGCGUUGUCCGGAAUUAUUGGGCGUAAAGAGCUCGUAGGCGGUCCGCUAAGUUAGAUGUGAAAUCUCAGGGCUCAACCCUGAAAUUGCAUCUGAUACUGGCGGACUUGAGGCAGGUAGGGGAAGGUGGAAUUCCUGGUGUAGCGGUGAAAUGCGCAGAUAUCAGGAGGAACACCGGUGGCGAAGGCGGCCUCCUGGGCCUGUUCUGACGCUGAGGAGCGAAAGCGUGGGGAGCGAACAGG
RNAcentral lists this unclassified non-coding RNA (253 nucleotides) under uncultured Euzebyales bacterium. RNAcentral's name for it is "contains 16S-23S intergenic spacer region". It matches the Rfam family "Bacterial small subunit ribosomal RNA", at positions 524 to 776 of the family's 1533-position model. The record is from RNAcentral. Lineage: Bacteria; Bacillati; Actinomycetota; Nitriliruptoria; Euzebyales.